GAUGAAUAACGUAGCGAAAUGCGAUAAGUAGUGUGAAUUGCAGAAUUCAGUGAAUCAUCGAAUCUUUGAACGCACAUUGCGCCCCUUGGUAUUCCAUGGGGCAUGCCUGUUCGAGCGUCAUUUGUACCUUCAAGCUUUGCUUGGUGUUGGGUGUUUGUCUCGCCUUUGCGUGUAGACUCGCCUUAAAACAAUUGGCAGCCGGCGUAUUGAUUUCGGAGCGCAGUACAUCUCGCGCUUUGCACUCAUAACGACGACGUCCAAAAGUACAUUUUUACACUCUUGACCUCGGAUCAGGUAGGGAUACCCGCUGAACUUAAGCAUAUCAAUAAGCGGAGGA
This 337-nucleotide unclassified non-coding RNA is filed under the name soil metagenome. RNAcentral describes it as "partial contains 5.8S ribosomal RNA, internal transcribed spacer 2, and large subunit ribosomal RNA". The stretch from base 1 to 120 matches the Rfam family "5.8S ribosomal RNA", at positions 35 to 154 of the family's 154-position model. The record is from RNAcentral.